Molecule: ribosomal RNA, 505 nt
Filed under: uncultured Bacteroidales bacterium
Lineage: Bacteria; Pseudomonadati; Bacteroidota; Bacteroidia; Bacteroidales
Description: bacterial SSU rRNA
Rfam family: Bacterial small subunit ribosomal RNA
Source: RNAcentral
GAUGAACGCUAGCGAUAGGCUUAACACAUGCAAGUCGAGGGGUAACGUGUUGGAAGCUUGCUUCCGAUGACGACGACCGGCGGAUGGGUGCGUAACGCGUAUGCAACUUGCCUCACAGAGGAGAAUAACCCGGAGAAAUCCGGACUAAUGCUCCAUACACUCUUUAGCACGCCUGUGCGUAAGAGGAAAGAUUUAUCGCUGUGAGAUAGGCAUGCGUCCUAUUAGGUAGUUGGUGAGGUAACGGCUCACCAAGCCAACGAUAGGUAGGGGUGCUGAGAGGCAGAUCCCCCACAUUGGAACUGAGACACGGUCCAAACUCCUACGGGAGGCAGCAGUGAGGAAUAUUGGUCAAUGGGCGAGAGCCUGAACCAGCCAAGUAGCGUGCAGGAUGACGGCCCUAUGGGUUGUAAACUGCUUUUAUGUGGGGAUAAAGUGCGUGACGUGUCAUGCAUUGCAGGUACCACAUGAAUAAGGACCGGCUAAUUCCGUGCCAGCCGCCGCGGUA